This 292-nucleotide ribosomal RNA is filed under the name uncultured prokaryote. Its description in RNAcentral is "partial 16S ribosomal RNA". It matches the Rfam family "Bacterial small subunit ribosomal RNA", at positions 505 to 796 of the family's 1533-position model. The record is from RNAcentral.
GUGUCAGCCGCCGCGGUAAUACGAAGGGGGCUAGCGUUGUUCGGAUUUACUGGGCGUAAAGCGCACGUAGGCGGACUAUUAAGUCAGGGGUGAAAUCCCGGGGCUCAACCCCGGAACUGCCUUUGAUACUGGUAGUCUUGAGUUCGAGAGAGGUGAGUGGAACUCCGAGUGUAGAGGUGAAAUUCGUAGAUAUUCGGAGGAACACCAGUGGCGAAGGCGGCUCACUGGCUCGAUACUGACGCUGAGGUGCGAAAGCGUGGGGAGCAAACAGAAUUAGAUACCCUGGUAGUCC